This 813-nucleotide long non-coding RNA is filed under the name Homo sapiens (human). Its description in RNAcentral is "HSALNT0370399". The record is from RNAcentral. Lineage: Eukaryota; Metazoa; Chordata; Mammalia; Primates; Hominidae.
GACAGAUCACACAAGCUCCUGUGAGUGUCACAUGUCAGCCUCAGAGCUGCUCAGGGGAUGCAUGGUUUGCCCUAGCUCUGGCGGUGAGGUCUUAUUUCAUGGCCCCAUUGGCCUCAGAGAACAGAGAGAACCAGCGGCUGAUAUUCAAGGAGAUUCCUGAUGAAAUGAGACCGAAUGACUGCAGAGACUGGCGCCACUGAAAAACAGAGGGAAAGAAAGGGCUUAUCGGAGAGUCCUCAGAUUAUGAUGAAAAUUCUUCAGGCAUUUAAAAGUCGACUUGUGAGAAGCCGCUGUAACCGUGCCAAGAGCCAGCUCUGUGGACCUCAGGAAUCUCAUGCUUCCAUCUCUGCUGCUGCCAACACCACGGUCAUGUUUUAUGUGUGCCCGUGUGAAUGGGGCCUCUGGGGAUCACAGACCCAGCUCCCCUCCCAGGUAGCGCCCUGCCCCAUGCAGGACUCUUCUCAACCCCAUGCUUCUAUAUCUGUGGGGAAGGUUGUUCCAAGCCCUUCCGGCCAAUGACACUCAGGCUUUUGGGUUGGGCAAAUUCUCAGGUCCCUCCGUGCCAUCCUACCCACUCUGGAGGGACUAACUAGUAUUUCUCUUAUAGCACUGAAAAAUAAAAUUUAUUUUGGGCCUCACAGAGCUCUAGGGACCACGUGGCUGUGUCAGCCCCAGGAGGAGGCAAGGAAAGGGUCCCUAUGGAGCCCAAAUCCGACAGGCAGAAGCCAGGUCAGAUGGUGCCCUGAGAACGUGCAGUCUAGAAGACCCAACCUGAGCCCUGACAACCCUCACCAGGAACUCAUAAGGAGGUGG